AGAGGUAUAGUUAAAUGGUAUAAUAAUGGUCUCCAAAACCAUUGGCCUAGGUUCGAUUCCUAGUACCUCUA
This is a non-coding RNA of Globomyces sp. JEL0801, 71 nucleotides long. NCBI's taxonomy places the organism in Eukaryota, Fungi, Chytridiomycota, Chytridiomycetes, Rhizophydiales, Globomycetaceae. The record is from the annotation of a GenBank genome assembly.